Nomascus leucogenys (northern white-cheeked gibbon) is the source of this 564-nucleotide long non-coding RNA. RefSeq lists it as uncharacterized. The transcript is spliced from 2 exons. The record is from RefSeq and is a predicted model, not a curated record. Lineage: Eukaryota; Metazoa; Chordata; Mammalia; Primates; Hylobatidae.
CAAAGUUGCUACAUAGAUCUAAAAAAAAAUGACACAUGCUGGUAAGGUUGGGGAGUAAAGGGAACACUCAUAUACUUAGUCAGUGAGGUCAAGACCAUCACCCCCAAGCCCCAAUCCCCCCAGAGCCUGCUGGAGUAAACAGGUGUGGCCCUUUCUCGGGGCGCUUCCUGGGGAAGGCGCAGAUCCUCUGUAUCUUCUCUCUACCUUCCCUCCAGAGACCUGCCUGCCCUGGCCGGUGUCCACUGCAGAGGCGACUUGCCGGGACAGCAGGUCAGGAGUUCUUGCAGUUGUAUACUCACAGCCCCUUAACUCCGCAUUUGCUCUGUUUUCUAAAUGAUUAUUGCUGCCACACAAGGAAACGAUUGAUUUUUUAAAUGUUUGUCAAGGACCCAGCCACUGUUAGUAAAUUCCCAGAAUUACAAUGGAGUCAUUUCUUUUUUUCUGGAUAGACAAUCAUACCAUCCCCUGAAUAGUGAUCACCUUGUCUCAUGAAUUCCUUUAGUCGUCUUUCUCACUUGUAUCUCAAGUCAUAAUAUUGGCCAGAACACGGAGAACAACAUUGAA